GACGAACGCUGGCGGCGUGCCUAAUACAUGCAAGUCGAGCGAGUCUGCCUUGAAGAUCGGAGUGCUUGCACUCUGUGAAACAAGAUACAGGCUAGCGGCGGACGGGUGAGUAACACGUGGGUAACCUGCCCAAGAGAUCGGGAUAACACCUGGAAACAGAUGCUAAUACCGGAUAACAACAGAUGAUGCCUAUCAACUGUUUAAAAGAUGGUUCUGCUAUCACUCUUGGAUGGACCUGCGGUGCAUUAGCUAGUUGGUAGGGUAACGGCCUACCAAGGCGAUGAUGCAUAGCCGAGUUGAUAGACUGAUCGGCCACAUUGGGACUGAGACACGGCCCACACUCCUACGGGAGGCAGCAGUAGGGAAUCUUCCACAAUGGACGCAAGUCUGAUGGAGCAACGCCGCGUGAGUGAAGAAGGGUUUCGGCUCGUAAAGCUCUGUUGUUGGUGAAGAAGGACAGGGGUAGUAACUGACCUUUGUUUGACGGUAAUCAAUUAGAAAGUCACGGCUAACUAAGUG
This 519-nucleotide ribosomal RNA is filed under the name uncultured bacterium. Its description in RNAcentral is "partial 16S ribosomal RNA". It matches the Rfam family "Bacterial small subunit ribosomal RNA", at positions 28 to 507 of the family's 1533-position model. The record is from RNAcentral.